CGCUAUCCAAAUUACUUUCUCAAUACGCGGAUGAAAUUUCCUGCCGUUCGAGCACUUGGACAAGGAGGGAAUCCGAGCGGCGACGACGACAACGACGCCGGCGGUUUCAUCAAUCAGGUGUUUGUUUUCCCUAAUUGCCUUCUAUCUCUAAGUAUAUAAGAGCAUUAAACAUAUGCUUAGCAGAUUGCUGAUUCAACAUAGUAAUUCGAUGCCUAAUUAGCUGAAUUUAGGCUGAAUGAAAGAAAAAUAGAUGGAACUAUUCAGUUUACCACAUUUUAGCAGUAUUUUUACUGAUUUCUGGCUAGAUUCUAUAAGUUUCAUUGAUUGAAUUGGACUGGGAAAUCUGGAAUUUUAGUAAAUUCUUGUCAGGUUAGCUAUUCUGUCUUUCGAUUAUCAAACCUGGAAAAAGAACACUUGAACGCACAAAAAACUAAAGAACACUAAAAUAUGUUGUAUUGCGAUAAGAAAAGUAACAACAUAAACACAACCUAGUCUUUGCUAAUCUCUUAUAAAUUCUCCAAAGAAAAUCCGCAAAAUUUCACUCUCUCCUCGUAACCUUACACCCUCUAUUUAUAGAUAAAUGCCUAACAAAUCAAAUUUACUAACUAUUUACUAAGAUGUCUCUUUUAUCAACCAUACUGAUAUUCUACUAAUGAUCCUACCAUUUUCAUAACUAGAGAUCUUUGGGAGCUCCUUCUUGCAUUGAUUCAAAUUCUUCUUUGAUGAUGAGUGCAUGUUGAGCAACCAGUGUUUAGACCAUUUAUUAUUGAUGUUGUGCCAAAAUUGCUUUCAGGGCAAUGAUUUCUUCUACGGCACAAUAAAUCUUUUUGAAAUUCGAUUAACAAGGUUUCUAUUUCUCUUACCCAAUAAAUCUCUUUUAAGAUAUGCUUGAUAUUGACGGGAAAGCCUAAACUUAAACAUAAUCAAUAUAGAAUUGUAUAGAAAAAUGAAAAGAAAGUAGAGUUUCAAAACAUUAUAUUCUAUGCAAUAAAAUUAGUGAAGAUGGCCUGGAAUUAGAAAACUCAAACAUAGACUUACCGUUUUAAUUCCAAGAUAUACAAGUCCAACAUGUUCGUCAGCCUCUGCUUGGGAAUUUGCUCUUUGUACUCUCUAAGGUAGCAACUGUUUAGUUAAAUUACAUUUCUUGUUUUCAGACAUGGCAUAUUUAGACUGUGUAAUGGCAUCUCUGAUAGUUUGAUUUAGUUGUUGGUAAUAAUUUAUUUUGUUUAUGAGGUAGUGAAACCAUAUAAUAAUUUUAUCUCACUCCAUAGGUAAGACGUUGAGUUAUUUUCUAUAUGUCAUUAACAUGAGUAAAGACAAGCUUUGGAAGUAGUUUACAUUAUCUCUCAUGCCCUUCUCAAGAUUUAUUUGGAACGAAUUUUCUAAAAUAUGUUUUUAAGCGUGUUUUAAGCACUUCAAAAGUCAUUUCAAGCCGGUUCAAAAGUCAUUUCAAGCCGGUUCAAAAUAUGUUGAAGAAAAUGAUAUGAAUAUUUACUCGAUUGUAUCACUUGAUUAUGUGAUAACACAGGAGGAUGUGGAAUUUUUGUUGAAACUGGGGGCAGGUUCCAUAGCAGGGGGAUUUGGAAUAAAGUAUGGAAGCAUAAUAUUUCCAGAGAUAACCAAACCCAACAUUGUAC
This 1637-nucleotide long non-coding RNA is filed under the name Cucumis sativus (cucumber). RNAcentral's name for it is "long non-coding RNA (CSAT_LNC001373)". Lineage: Eukaryota; Viridiplantae; Streptophyta; Magnoliopsida; Cucurbitales; Cucurbitaceae. The record is from RNAcentral.